GGUGGUUCAGUGGUAGAAUACACGCGGGCGGCCCGGGUUCGAUUCCCGGCCU
RNAcentral lists this transfer RNA (52 nucleotides) under Cordylochernes scorpioides. Its description in RNAcentral is "tRNA-OTHER". Lineage: Eukaryota; Metazoa; Arthropoda; Arachnida; Pseudoscorpiones; Chernetidae. The record is from RNAcentral.